CCCCCAAAAUGCCCCAAAUUCCCCCAAAAAUCUCAAAAUUCCACCCGAAAAUUUCAAAUUUCCCCCCAAAACCCCAAAUUUUCCCCCUAAAUCCCCCAAAUUCUUCCCAAAAAUCCCCAAAAUUCCCCAAUAAUCCCCAAAAUUCCUCCCAAGUAUUUCAAAUUUUCCCCCAAAAUCUCAAAAUUCCGCCCAAAAAUUUGAAAUUUCCCCCCGAAAAUCUCAAAAUCCUCCCCAAAAUCCCCAGAUUUCCACCCAAAAAUCCCCAAAAAUUUCAGAUUUCUCCCCCAAACCCCCAAAUUUCCACCCAAAAAGCCCCAAAAUCCCCCGAUUUCCCCCCAAAAUCCCGAACCUGCGUCCGCCGCCGCCUCCGGCUCCCCAAAAUCCCGUCGGGGCCCCUCCCCCACCCAGGAAACCGCGGCCGCCGUGGGGCAGGAAAUGUGUGGGGUGGGGGAGGGGCGGAGAGAGACGCCGAGAAAAAUUUGGGGGGGUCUGGAAUUUAUUGGGGGGGUCCGGGACCCCCAAAUGUGGGGCUGGGGUCCCAAAUGUGGGGCUGGGGUCAGUUGGUCACUCUGUGGUCACUCUCAGGUCAUCCCGGGGCCACCCUGUGGUCACUCAGUGGUCACUCCAUCACUCUCAGGCCAUCCUGUGGUCAGUGGUCACCCCGUGGUCACUCGGUGGUCACUCAGUGGUCAGUGGUCACUCAGUGGUCACUCGGUGGUCACUCGGUGGUCAGUUGGUCACUCUCAGGCCAGCACGUGAGCCACCGGCACUUUCCGUGUCCGGCCUCCGGCCGCGGGCGGGACCACGAUGGCCGCGGGGUCGUCGUCGUCGUCGCCGUCCGGGGGCAGCCCUGGGGGAGGUUCCGGAACGUUCCGGGGGGUUCUGCAACCUUCCAUGGGGUUCUAUGGGGGUUCUGGAACCUUCCAUGGGGUUCUAUGGAGGUUCUAUGGGGGUUCUGGAACCUUCCAUGGGGUUCUAUGGAGGUUCUAUGGAGGUUCUGGAACCUUCCAUGGGGUUCUAUGGAGGUUCUGGAACCUUCCAUGGGGGUCCUGGAACCUUCCAUGGGGUUCUAUUGGGGUUCUAUGGAAGGUUCUGGGUUUGUAUGGGGGUUCUGGAACCUUCCACGGGGUUCUGGAACCUUCUAUGGGGGUUUUGGAACCUUCCAUGGGGUUCUAUUGGGUUUCUAUGGGGGUUCUGGAACCUUCCAUGGGGUUCUAUUGGGUUUCUAUGGGGGUUCUGGAACCUUCCAUGGGGUUCUAUUGGGUUUCUAUGGGGCUUCUGGAACCUUCCAUGGGGUUCUGUAACCUUCUGUGGGGUUCUAGGAGGGUUCUGGAAGCUUCCAUGGGGUUCCAUGGACGUUCUGGAACCUUCCAUGGGGGCUCUGGUGCCUUCCAUGGGGUUCUAUUGGGUUUCUAUGGGGGUUCUGGAAGGUUCUAUAGGAGUUCUGGAACCUUCUAUGAGGUUCUGGAACCUUCCAUGGGGUUCUAUGGAGGUUCUGGAAUCUUCCAUGGAGGUUCUGGAACCUUCCAUGGGGUUCUAUUGGGUUUCUAUGGAGAUUCUGGAAUGUUCUAUGGAGGUUCUGGAACCUUCCAUGGGGUUCUAUGGGGGUUCUGGAACCUUCUGUGAGGGUUCUAUUGGCUCCCAUUGGGUUCUACGAGGGUUCUGGAAGGUUCUAUUGAGUUCUAUGGGGUUUCUAGAAGGUUCUAUGGGGUUUCUGGAAGGUUCCAUGGGUUUCUACAAGACCCUGUGGGGUUUCUAGAAGGCUCUAGAGGUUUCUAUGGGGUUCUAGAAGGUUCUGGAGGGUUCAAGAAGGUUCAACACUGCUCUAGAAGCUCUAGAUGCUUCUAGAAGUUUCCAAGACUGUUCUAGAAGGCUCUAGACUGGGUUCUAGACCGUUCUAGAGCGGUUCUAGACUGGGUUCUAGAAGGUUCUAGAUCAGGUUCUAGAUCGGUUCUAGAGCGGUUCUAGAUCGGGUUCUAGAAGGUUCUAGAGCGGGUUCUAGAGCGGUUCUAGAUCGGGUUCUAGAAGGUUCUAGAUCGGUUCUAGAUCGGGUUCUAGACUGGGUUCUACUGGGUUCUGGAGGGUUCUAUUGGGUUCUAUGGGGUUCUGGAAGGUUCUCUGGGUUUCCACAGACUUCUCUGGGUUUCUAGAAGGCCCCAUGGGGUUCUAUAAGAUUCCAGAAGGAUCUAUGGGGUUUCCAGAAGGUUCUCUGGGGUUCUCUGGGGGUUUCUAGAAGGUUCCAUGGGAUUCCAUGGAGUUCUAUGGGUUUUCUAGAAGGUUUUAUGGGUUUUUUAUGGGUUUCUA
Molecule: long non-coding RNA, 2304 nt
Organism: Cyanistes caeruleus (blue tit)
Lineage: Eukaryota; Metazoa; Chordata; Aves; Passeriformes; Paridae
Source: Ensembl